UACGUAGGGGCCGAGCGUUGUCCGGAUUCAUUGGGCGUAAAGGGCGCGUAGGCGGUGCUGUAAGUCUGUAGUGAAAUCUCACAGCUUAACUGUGAAACUGCAUUGGAUACUAUCCGGCUCGAGGAAUGGAGGGGAGACUGGAAUACUUGGUGUAGCAGUGAAAUGCGUAGAUAUCAAGUGGAACACCAGUGGCGAAGGCGAGUCUCUGGACAUUUCCUGACGCUGAGGCACGAAAGCCAGGGGAGCAAACGGG
Molecule: ribosomal RNA, 253 nt
Filed under: uncultured bacterium
Lineage: Bacteria
Description: partial 16S ribosomal RNA
Rfam family: Bacterial small subunit ribosomal RNA
Source: RNAcentral